RNAcentral lists this long non-coding RNA (512 nucleotides) under Pongo abelii (Sumatran orangutan). Its description in RNAcentral is "lincRNA". The record is from RNAcentral. Lineage: Eukaryota; Metazoa; Chordata; Mammalia; Primates; Hominidae.
CUCCUUUCAUUUUGCCUCUUGGAUUGUCAUGAACUUCCUGAGCAAGGAGGCCAUCCACCAUGCAGUGUAAUGUCUUGCUAAGAGAAAUUAGUAUUCAGUCUGCUCAAGUUCCAGCAAGGACUUUCUUCAUGAAGAUCUUCAAGUGGAAUCGAGCAGCCUUGCCCAUAAAGUCUUUCCUGUGGCUCCACUGAGAAAUUCGAUUAAGUAUUCCAAUACUGCUGUGAAACGAAGUGAUCUGAUUCAGGUGAGUCAAUUUAUCUUGCAAGAUGAAGAAAUUACCUCAGAGAAGUCAAAUAAUUUACCCAGAGUCACAAAAUAAGCAAAUGACAGAAUAUUCAAAUCCAGGUCUUCUGACUGUACCUCUAUUGCAUUGUCUGCCUUAGAGGUUUCCGAAGUAUUGAUAAGAUGGAGGCUGGAAGAGCUUGAAACAGACCAUAUAAAGCCAGGUCUGGAAAAGCAAAGAGGCCCAAGGAACAGCACAGACCCUGACUGGUGGGGUAUCUGUGUAUUUU